Molecule: RNA transcript, 9485 nt
Organism: Apis cerana (Asiatic honeybee)
Lineage: Eukaryota; Metazoa; Arthropoda; Insecta; Hymenoptera; Apidae
Source: RefSeq, a predicted model, not a curated record
UUGGCCGGCCGUGCUAGUAACAGUGCCAAAACUGCCUCAAAACGGACCGCUCCGUUCUCUCCCUCCCUCUCUCCCUUCCCUCUCUCUUCCUCUUCUUCCCUCUUUACGUAUCGAUGUUCUCGUGCGGAUAACCACCCAUCCCAGACACGUGCCCUCUAUCCGCCUUCUUACUUACCUUCCUUCCUUCGACCACCGUCUCCAUUCUGCACCCAGCCCAUCCACCCGAUCGGCUCGCUUUCCCCGCUUUUCCAACGUGACGGCCGAGACAACAAGUGUCCGAGGAUCGCGUGAUCGGGUUCAUCGCACCGAUAGUUUCCGCGCCCUGCUCCUCGAAUAUACGUGUUUGGAUACCUGUUCGCCAGUGAGCAUCGUCGUAAUCAUCGGCCAGAAGAAAGAUCGUUCAAGUAGCCGGGUCGAAUGUGCUUCGUCGCCCACGCCGUUGUUGUCGAUCAGGAUUUACGGAAAGGAAGAACGAUCCUUCAUGUUGCCGGAAAGCAAGUUUCCCGUCACAGGGGGCACUAUGCAGACCGAGGAAAUCGUGUCUCGCACACAAUCUACUGGUAUAGACGGCGGCCCCACAGACAGCGCCUCUUUGCAGCAUCAUCUGCAUCACACGUCGCACAUAAAGUGUCCGUUGCCACCUCUGCUCCACAUGGCGGUGAAGCAGGAGCCACAGGAGGAGGAGGAACGAAGUCGUGACACGAAUGCGUUGAGUCCACAAGUAGAUGCAGACACCUCGCCGACGUCCGUCGAUGGGAAACUCGGGCAUGGACACGAAACGGGCCAUCAUCAUCAGAUCCAGGAGCUUGAGGAAACUCCGGGGCAGACCGUUGCCGAUCUGAAUAAUCGAGGAAGGCCGAAUCGUGGGCGCAGGAAGUCGCGAUGGAAGCUCAAGUUCCACCACCAAGCGUUGCCUCCGGAGUAUCUGGACCACUACGAGGCGUCCCUCGCCCAGGAGGCUCUGAACUCGUCGCCGACCCGACUGACGGAGCCGACGAUAGCCAGCCCAGCGCCAACCAGCUCCACCUCGACGCCAAGCCCCAUAGCCGACGUGCACGGCUGGUUGCAGCGGAUCGCGGCGAUGCAGCAAGAGCUCUGCCCUCAGAUCUCGUCCGGCCAGUGCUCCACGAUGGCACCUAACAACGCGAAUCAAGCGUCAGUCUCGAGAAGAUCCGUGAUCACGUCCACCUCCUCUCACGCGCUCAACAACACUACCACCACCACCACCACCACCACCACCCACCACCAUAAUCACAAUCAACAGCAACAACAAUCCCCUUCCCAAGCGUGCCAAGCCAGGCCGCCCAUGAAAUACUCGGAUCUCCCUUACAUGGGCGAGAUCACGUUGGACAACAGCAAGCCGAGGCGGGGGAGGAAGCCGAAGAAGGCGGAUAUCUGCCACUUGAUAUACAAAAAUUACGGGACCAUACUGCCUGGAACCCCUGGCCACGAGGAGAGAAGGCUCUCCCCAAGGGGGGAGAAGCUCGAUUGCCGAGAGAGGAUCUCCCCGCACACGAUUCCGUUCCAGAGGUCGGACGUGCAGAACAGGAUCAGCAGCUUGUUGGAGAAACGAUUGACGCAGGAGUCGCGGCGCACGUUCGACGUCGUGGAGAAUUCGGCGAGGGAGCAGGACGAGCCUUUGAACCUGUGCAUCAGGGAUCUGAAUCAAUUGAAGAUCAGGUUGUUGAGGAAGCACGGGAACGUGUACGAGUCUGGACAGGUUAAGAGCGAGACGUCGAGCGACGGGGAGGAGGUCGAGUGCAUAGGAUCCACUUUCCCCACCGAAACGAGUUAUCGUCCUUUGUUGGAUCCGCUGGUUGUUCGUAACAGUGGGAGCAACGUGAACCACAACAACAAUAUAAUCGAUCCCAUGCUCGCCACCAAUCCGGGAUUCGUGUACUGGCCCAACGCGGGCGUGUUUAUCCACCCGAUGGCGCUGCAGUCGCAACUGCUCUACUACCAAAAGAUGGCGCAGAACGACAAGUGUUAUCCGAGAGGUUUGGAUCAGGGGCCGAAAGAGCAGAGGAUCGUUCCUAAAUCGAUAUAUUCCAUGAUGGAGGCGAAGAGCCCCCCUCUCGUUCCCGCGCCACCUGCCACCGUUCAACCGCUGACACCCGUUCAAACCGUCCCCCCCGUCCAACCUCCGGUCUCUCCCAGGCCGAAGAGGAACGCGCCCGUUGCUCAAGCCCAAGGAGGACAGCCGACCAAGAGGAAACGGUCCGCCAUAUUCAUACCGCCUAUGCCCACGGAGAACAACAACAAUCCCGCGACAGAGGUGAGCAUAUGCAAAUUCAAGUUCACAGGUGGGGCGAAACCUAGCCUCCAAGAGAAGAAGAGCCUGUCCGUCGAUUCUGGGGGCAACUUCAGGUAUUACAGCGGAACGGGGGACAAGAGUAUGCGUGGAUACGAGUUCUUCCCGCGCGAAGCUCUUCAACAGUCCGCCGGCCAGUCGGCCUCCUCGACGGGCGCCUUCCUCAACGCAGCCGGGGAAAGGAUUCAACCGCCUCCCUGUCAGAGGAGCGGGGGCAACAACCAGGAGGAGGGUCGCCGCAAGAGGAAGACGCGAAAGUCGUUGCAGAGGGAGAAAUUGGAACAAACGUUCAAGGAGAAGGGGUUCCUGAUCCAGACGCAGCAGUUGGAAUCCGCGGAGGGCGCCACCUAUUGCAAGUUUAGACAACUUAGAAAGUUCACCAGGUAUCUGUUCAGAAGCUGGAAGGAUUAUUUGCCGGGAAACGUGCGCGAGUUGACCGGGGCAACGGACAAUGAGAUUGGAGACGGAGACGCGGAGAGCGACACGAACGUGUUACCGUCCCCUGUUCCGAAUAUGGUGGACGUGCCGUCAGCUUUCGUCGACGAGCACCGCGCCCUGCCUCUCACGUGAGACAGCCACGAGGCGAUCGGUCGGUUCUAACUUCACGUUAACUUCAACCACGGUUCUCGGGGCCAAGAUCAGGGAAAUCGCUGAUGAACCACGUUGCUUCGAUCGAGGAAGCAACGUGAGGUGGGGUACGAGGGAUGGAGAGGAGGCAAGUCGAACUCGAUGUAAGUUUUUAAGGACGUAAAGAUUUUUGAUAAAGAAGAUUGUGCUCGCGAGAUGGACGAUCGGGAAUUAUUUGAAUUAGGAAGUUUCAAGUUUUAAGAUUCGAUGGGUUGUUUCAAGUUCAACCGCGUUACAUCAUUGGAAAUGGAUUUCAAGAGAAUUAUAUUACUGUGAGAAGAGGAAAUGUGUCUCUGUCUUUUUCAGAGAGAAUUUUCCACGAUGAAAUAUAUAAAAAAUUGUAAAAAUUGCGACUGACAAUGGAAAUUAGGAAACGAUAGAUUCAGCUAAUAGGUUAAACGUGAAAGACAAUUAACUUUCACUUUGUACUCAUGAUUAAUAAUAGGUAACUGUUAAUGUCAUAACAUUUAAGUAUCGAAACUUUAUAACACCUUAAAAAUGCAUAAAUGGUAUACACACAUUUUUUACGGAGUAAAGAAUGGAUAUCUUUUUUAAAUUUUCAAUUCACAUUUUCUUUCUUGAAUUCGUUUAUUUAAAAAUUUAUAAGUUUUUCUUUAAAUUUUAUUAAGAAUUGAUAUAUUACGAAACACCUUGUUGAUUUGUUAUUAGAAAUGGAAAAUUUUUUUUAAAGUAUAUUUCCAUGAUUUUAUUUAAACCAAUAUAAAGAUUUUUAAAUUAUCAUCUAUUAAUAUUGUAUUAUCUCGUGAGCGUGUAUUGAUUGUUAGCCGAGCAAAAAAUUAAUUAAAAUUCGAAAAAAAUACAAUAACGAUGUUGACCAGUUGUUAUGACAUCAUUAUAUCUAUUAUUGUAGAUAAUCUACAUCUAUGUAAUAUUUACUGGUCCUUGAAUAUCAAAAAAAAAAAGAAAAAAAAUGUGAAGAAAAAUUAUAAUAUUCAAUUAUAAUUCACAAUGAACUAAAAAACACGAUGUUAAUUGACGUUUACUUACACAAAAGUGAUAUAUAAGUCUGUGAUAUGUAGUAAUUCAUCUCAUAAUUGAUAAAAAACACACAAAAAAAAAACACUGAUCAUUCGUUUUAAUAUUCUUAAAAAUAUCCAAUUCAAAAAUUACCUAGUGAAAAAAAUAUAAAAACAUAUCGAUUGAAAUUCAUUUAUCGAGAUUUAACGAAUUUAAUUUUAUGUUAAAAAUGCUUGUAAACAGCCCCCUAUGAUCAAACCACGUUUACAUCAAGCCAGUCGGUUAAAUUUCAAUCGAAUAAAGUAAAAUUUCGAUCGUUUACGAGUCAAAGUUAUCUCGAUCUAACGAGAAAAGUUAUGCAGAUCACCAAUUUUCAUAAAUGGAUUUAUACCAACAAUCUAUCACUUCCAUUUCAUUACCAUCUAAUAAAAAUCAUCAUCACGACUUAUAAAUAAAUACGUAUUAUUUCGUGAAUCAAACGAACGAACGUACAACUAUUAACAUAACCUUAUAACAAUGCGCGAUUGAUCGAUCGUUUCACUAGAAGAAUGAGAGAAGAAAGGAACGUAUAUCGGUGAGAGAGUGGGAAGGAGAAUCGUAAAUGCUACCGCGAGCGAGGAUACGAAGAACAGAUGGCGUUCGUGUAUCGUCACGGUUAUAAUAAUAAUGUAAAUUCGAUCGUAGCUCCGUGCCAAAGAUGGGAGACUGGAAUGUAAAUAGCGCUGAAAGGACGUGUUUGUCGUAGUUAACCAAAGAGCGUGGUUUCGCCGAUUAGAAGCGGAUGCGAGUAAGGUAAUCUUCGUGUGUUAAGAAACAAGAGGCGUGACGCGAUAAAUUCAGCUUUCUAGGCGGCCUGCACGGGACGAGGCGAGACUUUCGUCGGCUUUCGAUUUUGCAAUGCAUUUCGUGCGCACCUAGAUGAGAACAGAGAAUGAAAAUGAAAAAAGAAUCAAAAGAUUCUUCUUUGAGAGAGGAGAGAGAAAGAGAAAGAAAGAGAAAAAAAGAGAAAGGAAUAAUUAGAAACGGGAAACUCCCGUAUAAUUAUACGAUUAUCAUGAUUAUUUUUUAAUCGUAAUCUAUUUAAUAACGCCUAACGAAAUCUAGUCUUAUUUAUACUCUUUGUUAAAUCAAAAGCCGUGUUUUUUUCUUUUUUAUUAUUAUUAUUAUACGCACAGCGAUUUAUUUAUGUAUGUAUAUAAUUCACAGUUUGUGUCGGCGCGUGGCGUACAUCGGAAUGCAAGGAAUGGAGAGAAAUGUGUGGACUGUUGGCGAGAAUAAAAUUGAAAUUGCGACUGUCAAGCGAUGGCGAUGGCUAGGUAACGUUCGAUGAAUUUAGGGAAUGUUAGAUUGGAAAACGAUCCGUACCUGAGGCUUGUGGCGCUCUCCUUCGAUUUUUCGCUCUCGAAUCGUCCUUUAUUCGAGACUUGUAAAUGGUUCAGGUUUUAGAGACGCGCACGCGCCGACGAGUCUCCAUUGUUGGAGGAGAAAUUGCGCUCAAAAUGGCGAUGAUUAAUGGUGGAACGAGGAAAUGUGCAACAGGAACCGUCCUAUAAUCUGUAAUCGUUAUUAUCCUGUGCAGCGACCAUUUUCAAUUCAUUCGACUAAUAAAUUAUUCUCGAAGAAUAAGAUUCACAUGCAACUCAAGAUACGAUCUGAAAAAAAAUAAUGGAACAUCGAAACGAAUUUCGUUUUAUAUUGACGAAGCAUAUAAUUCUUUCGAACAACUUUUUAUUUAUCUUCCAAUACGUGACAACGAGAAAGAAAUUAACGUUGUACGUUAUACAUUUGUGCAAUGACUGUCGAAAAAUCUUAUUUCUCCCAAACAUCACGUUGACGUAUGAAAAAUUCACGCAACAAAGUAUCAAUUAUGGAUCCACUUAUAUCGCAAAACGAUAUAACACGUUUUACAGUGAUUAUAACACGCGUGCAUGACAAUUGUCAAAAGUAAUCCCCGAAAGAAAUUUAAUUAAACCUUUCCCGAUAUGUUUCAUUGAUGCACCGGCCAAGGAUCCAUGCGCAUCACACACGAUACACCAUCACGCGGCUUGGAAGGCCAGAGAGGGUGCUGAUUCGAAGUUGAGAAAUUAUGGAUGAAGGAUUCGAGAGAAAUUUGACUUAAAAAAAAAGAGAGGAGAUGAGAGAAAUCAACAAAGAAUGAACGUAAAUGUUAUCAUAUCCUCGAUUUCUAAUUGAACGUUUUUUACGAUAUGAUUUAAUUCUCAUCCUCCUCUCGCGAAUUCCACCACGUUUAGUUCAGAAAGGAAGAAGAGAGAUAAGAAAAUUUGACGCGUUGAAUUGUUGGAAGAGGGAAGGCGUCGUCGUCGGCGUCGUCGUCGAGGUUGGCGCGCACAAUGACUGCAGGUUUCCUAAUACGGCCUCGUCGCCGAGCUGGAUGAAAAAAAGAGGAAUUUUGGCCACCAUCGGGGGCCUGGGAAGAACGUCCCGCGUUAGAUCCUGCCGGCACAGAAAUUUAAUAAUCGACCGCUGCCCGCUUCGAAAUCUUUCUCUUCCUCUUGCUAUGUACUUCAGUAUAUAUCAUUAGUCGAAGAGUUAAUGCCUCUGUGACUUUGAUCACUAUAAUCAAACUACAGAUUUUUCUGUAUAAAGCAUCAAAGAUUGUUUAAAGAAGAUUGUUUGGAUUAGAAAUUUAGAAAAUAUUACAAAAGAGUUGAUUAUUAAUUAUAUAAAAUUUGUAAAGUUAAUCCUUUUGUAACUUUGAUUAUUUUGUUUUAGAGAAAAGGAUAAUUGAAUUGCAAAUCACAAUUUAUUAUAAUGAAAAGUGAUAAGUAAUUUUUAUUGCCUGUAAGAAUAAUUAAAACAGAUUGUAACUUUUCAUUAUAGUCUUCAAUAUCAGAGACUAGUAUUGAAGAUUUAUAAUUUCUUAUAAGAAAAAAUGAGAAAACUUGAAUUAAUGUGAUCAACAUACUCUGUAAUCCAAGUUUCACACCUCUUUUAUCAUCAUAUAGUACAAAUUUUAUGCAAAUUGUAAUUCAUUCACCAUUCUUAACAAAGACAAGCUUCUUGAACACGUUUUAAAACGUCUCCAAAUUUUUAUAAGUAAGAUAACAAUGCCCAGAAACAUCGAACCACCAAAUAAACCACCAUCCUUCCAUCCUUCUCCUUCUUUCACCCCCUUCAAUCACCUUCACCUUCCACAAAACCGGAACCGGACAAAUUACACUCGUCCUCGAUCCUUUCAACAUUCGAAGACAAAGAGACGAGUCCCUCCUCCUUUCCUUUGUGUUUCCACGUGUUCUCCUCGCCAACUCCCUUAUACGGUAGAAAGAUAAGGAGUUCGCGCGCCCAGUAAAUCGGCGAUUUAAGGUGCGUCCGAGGCGCGGAGGAGAUAGCGAGAAUCGCGUGGAGCGUGAAGCGUGAACCGAGCGAGCAGGAUCGGAUAGAGCGUGGCCGGUUCGAAGGAAGACAGGUAUUCGCAGUCUAACAGGACAGGUUCGUUCGCGAAAAACUUCAAUUUGUCUCGCACGCUCCCCCAUCCGCGCAGGGAUAUCUCUUCGAUAAUACGCGCGCGCCAGGAAGGGAAAUCGAGUGGCGAUAACGUUGGAUAUUCUUUGGAAUUGCUAUUUCUUUUUGGAGGGAAAUUGAAAUUUGGAAAGGAACGAGAAUUUUGAUGAUUGAUAAGGAAUUGUGAAUUUUUUUUUUAAAAUGUUUUUGGAUUUAAUGAAGUUUAAUUUUAGUAUGCAAAAGAGAGUUGGGAAUGUUUUGGAAAAUUUGUUCAAAUUUCAAAAGUUUUGAAACUGAUUUCUUGAAAUUCUAAAAUUAUUGAUUAUGAGUAAUUCUAGAAACGAGGAAAUAAAAUCUAAGGAAAAAUCUUGGAUCAUUUGUAAUAUUUUAGGAGAAAAGAAACACUGUAUGCUAUUAAUAUAUCCAAAAAUUAGAUCGAUGCAAGUGUGAACUGUGAUAAAAAAAAAGUAACAAACAACGAUAAAAAAAUAAAAACAAAAAUAAUUACCGUAUAAUUCAAAGAAUCCUCGAAAGAAAAAUAACCAAAUCACGACUCAAUUCCAAAUAAUUUUCUUGAUCGCUGUUCAAAUUUCGCGCCAUAAACUUUCCUUAUCGCUCCCGCUCUGCUCCUUCUCCAAGGAACGAUAAUUAAACAGUAUCGGUCAAUAUCCCAAAAAAUACUCUCACAGGAACACGUUCCUUUUUACGCGAUAUCGACGCGUUCCCCGCAAUUAUAUCCGUCUGAAUGGCGGCCGUGUGCUCGCCAUCAGGCGUAGGCGGAGUCAACCGAUUUUAAACAACUGGCUGUACGCAUUAAUUAAAUCCAGGAGUCUGUGUACUACUCCCUUGACUCCAUACAAGGUGGCCGGUCUUAAUUUGGCAUUGGCGAAAUAGUAACGCCGGUGCUGCUUAACACCAGCCCAUUGUCCUGUCCACCUCAACGCAGCCAGGAUUCAAUAAUUAAUUAACUGUAUUUCAUCGAACGCUUCCAUUUACCGCACCAACCACGGUAUACAUCCAUCCAACGUGGAAUUAUUAUCGCGUAAAUCAUGGAAUGCGUGCUUCCUUUUAAGCGUUUCGACUCGAAAUCGAAAUGCUUAUUAUAAGAGAACUCUUGGUUCAGUUCCUAUUAGGGGUUGGUAAACGGUGGUUUCUGAUUUAUCGACUCAUUUUGUGACCGCGGUUACUGUUGCUUGGCCGAUUACUUGUUUACGAGAUUUUAUCGAGAUUUUGCGUGAGUAAUAGCUAUCUUGGUGUCAGUGAGAUUUUUCGAUACGAAAUCAAGGAUGUUCCUUUUUCGAAAAGUUGAUAGUUCAGCUCGAGAGGAGCGGGUAAAGCAAGAAACAGACGCCACCGGAAAUCAUCAUUCUAACCGGGUACGUUUAAUCGAAGGGAAAACCGGAAUAUGCCGCGGGCUGACUGACAACAGGAUCAACCUGCUCUGUGGACGUAUCGAAGCCAGGAUUCCAUUCCGGCUCGAUUUUUCUACACCGACACGGCGACCAAGUAUCCCCACUCCUCCACGACCGACUCUUUUCUUCUACCACUGAUUAAUUACACGUAUUGUUAGACGAGCGUUCUUCUUCUCGAUCGUGCAAAUGUGGCGCCGUUCUAGUCGAGUGGAAAUGGGAAACGUCGCAAACGUUGGUAAUACUGGUCUACACCGGUCCUAUUUGCGCUGCGAACGUCAGAGUGCACCGCAAAGUCCAUAUCCCUAAGUUUCGAGGAUACGACACGAGGAUAUCGUGGCCGGCACGUACACCAGCUGGUCCAACUUCUUGUCCAGCGUCGACAGCUGCAACGAAAACGAAAAAUCGGAAUUGGAAUCAGUGAGAGCAAGAACCCCCGACUUCUGGAGGGGAUAUGUCCGUGGAUCAUUCGUGGCUCGAAGAGGAAGAGUGCAAGAGAGAAAGAGAGAGAAAGAAAUGCAAGACGAUGGAACCGGAUACAACGAAACGUUUUUGACACGAGACGUUCUGUAUAUCAUCCAUUCCCGAAUGUUUUUUGUCAAAAAAAGAUUUUAUGAACAUUUCAAAGAAAGAUUCCAAGGAAAAAUAUUAAUUAUAAAUUCAUUGGUUAUCCUUGAUUAAAAUCUUAUAAAGACAAA